GCGGAGGAAAAGAACCAACAGUGAUUGCCUAGUAACGGCGAGUGAAGCGGCAACAGCUCAAAUUUGAAAGCUAGCCUUCGGGUUCGCAUUGUAAUUUGUAGAGGAUGAUUUGGGGAAGCCGCCUGUCUAAGUUCCUUGGAACAGGACGUCAUAGAGGGUGAGAAUCCCGUAUGUGACAGGAAAUGGCACCCUAUGUAAAUCUCCUUCGACGAGUCGAGUUGUUUGGGAAUGCAGCUCUAAAUGGGAGGUAAAUUUCUUCUAAAGCUAAAUAUUGGCGAGAGACCGAUAGCGCACAAGUAGAGUGAUCGAAAGAUGAAAAGCACUUUGGAAAGAGAGUUAAAAAGCACGUGAAAUUGUUGAAAGGGAAGCGCUUGCAAUCAGACUUGUUUAAACUGUUCGGCCGGUCUUCUGACCGGUUUACUCAGUUUGGACAGGCCAGCAUCAGUUUCGGCGGCCGGAUAAAGGCUCUGGGAAUGUGGCCUCCACUUCGGUGGAGGUGUUAUAGCCCAGGGUGUAAUACGGCCAGCCGGGACUGAGGUCCGCGCUUCGGCUAGGAUGCUGGCGUAAUGGUUGUAAGCGACCCGU
RNAcentral lists this ribosomal RNA (585 nucleotides) under Aureobasidium pullulans. RNAcentral's name for it is "eukaryotic LSU rRNA". It matches the Rfam family "Eukaryotic large subunit ribosomal RNA", at positions 50 to 652 of the family's 3401-position model. The record is from RNAcentral. Lineage: Eukaryota; Fungi; Ascomycota; Dothideomycetes; Dothideales; Saccotheciaceae.